UCAUCUUUUUGGGUUGUCUUGGAAUGACCUUUGCUGUUAAUGCUAGUGAUGCAAAAUGUGGAUCUACUAAGGCAAGAGGUAUCCUUGACCGUUCUCUGAGGGUUAUUGGAGGAUCAGAGGCCAGGCGAGGUUCCCAUCCGUGGUUGGCACGUAACUCUUCAACCUUACAAAUUGCAUGAUAAACUAAUGCAAUACUACAGUUUUUACAUUCCAAAAGGCAUUGAAGUAUAUGUCAGUAUGAAAAAUUCAUUCUAUUAUUAUCUACAGGUGUCUCUAAGGAUCAGAGGAUCGCAUUUCUGUGCUGCAGCGAUCUUGACAGACCACUGGCUUUUGACUGCUGCUCAUUGCUUUGCAAGUGUAUCCAAGGACUUCCUGCACAAAAUUGAGGCUGUAGCAGGUGAUUUCAACCAAAGAAAAGUUGAUAGAGGGGAGCAGAACUUCCAGGUAAAGACUGUAAAGUUCCAUGAAAAAUAUCAACGCUCCUCUCCCAUGAGCUACGACAUCGCUUUGCUUGAGACCA
Molecule: long non-coding RNA, 520 nt
Organism: Sinocyclocheilus anshuiensis
Lineage: Eukaryota; Metazoa; Chordata; Actinopteri; Cypriniformes; Cyprinidae
Exons: 3
Source: RefSeq, a predicted model, not a curated record